GGAGAUUUCUACAGCUGUUGACAACGAGAAGAAAAAUACCCAUUCCCUCCUUAAAGAUGGCAGAACCUUUGCGUACGACCUCUUAAAGGGUAUCAUCGAUUCAACACAGCCAUUACAAAGUGGCCAAUCGAUCCCUAUUUUAAUUCAAACACCCACCCUCGUACUGCAUGCGUUCGCCAACUGCAUCUCUCCGAGGGCCGGCAGUCUGGAAGGAGAGCGCCUCCCCACUUUGGUGACAAGGCGACUCCAGGCCGAAGCACUGUUUUUUCCGACACACACAGAGACGCAUUGACGUGACGAACACAAGCCGACUCCGCCCCCCUCCUCCCGAAGACAGCGUUGCCAAUGAUCGCUGCUUCGUCAAAUCCGGCCAUAGUCGGAUCUGACGAGACCGGGGCGCGAACCCCAGUCCCCAGUGGGCAACUGCAUCGACACAGAGCCGAUGCUUAGACCGCUACACCACCACGGACCGACAGAACACUGAUUUUGACGUGCAGAUCUGGGCAGCUUGAUGCAAAACCUGACAAUGAACAACCACUCACCACCUCAACAAGACAGAAGAUGGACACAGAGGGUAAACAUCAGAAGGACCUUUGUGACCCCAUAACCACCGGCACUAUCACCAUGCUAACAAAGACAUUUAUACCCGGUGGAGUACACCCAGGCAGUGGUUAGCGCGGUUGCCUUACAGCAAGAAGGUGCUGGGCUUGAGCCCAGGGGUAGUGGAGUUUGCAUGUUCUCCCUGUGUCUGCGUGGGUUUCCUCUGAUUGCUCUGGUUUCCUCCCACAGUCCAAAGACAUGUGCUAGCUCUGGUGAAUCGGCCAUACUACAUUGCCCCUAGGCUUAUCGAGGAGCUUCAGAAACGUCAAAUGAAUGUUGUGAACAUUCCAGAAGAGGAUUCUCCUAUACUUCCUUGUGCAAGCCAAACCGUGGUGGAUGCUGCGAUCAGCCAAG
This is a long non-coding RNA of Lampris incognitus (smalleye Pacific opah), 954 nucleotides long. RefSeq lists it as uncharacterized. The record is from RefSeq and is a predicted model, not a curated record. The transcript is spliced from 4 exons. NCBI's taxonomy places the organism in Eukaryota, Metazoa, Chordata, Actinopteri, Lampriformes, Lampridae.